UACGUAGGGUCCGAGCGUUGUCCGGAGUUACUGGGCGUAAAGCGCGCGCAGGUGGUUCACUAAGCCCGGCGUGAAAGCCCCCGGCUCAACCGGGGAGGGUCGUCGGGGACUGGUGAACUUGAGGGCGGCAGGGGCUGGUGGAAUCCCCGGUGUAGUGGUGGAAUGCGUAGAGAUCCGGAGGAACACCAGCGGCGAAGGCGGCAUCCUGGACUGGUCCUGACACUCAUGAGCGAAAGCGUGGGGAGCGAUCCGG
RNAcentral lists this ribosomal RNA (253 nucleotides) under uncultured bacterium. RNAcentral describes it as "partial 16S ribosomal RNA". It matches the Rfam family "Bacterial small subunit ribosomal RNA", at positions 524 to 776 of the family's 1533-position model. The record is from RNAcentral.